Molecule: long non-coding RNA, 1459 nt
Filed under: Homo sapiens (human)
Lineage: Eukaryota; Metazoa; Chordata; Mammalia; Primates; Hominidae
Description: PREDICTED lncRNA (TCONS_00039787)
Source: RNAcentral
GCUCCUAAACCCAACCUCGUAUCGCCUCCUGCGAGUAGCUUCCAGGUGUCCACAGGGAGCCCGGGGUCAUGCUGGCAUCAUUCAUUCUCCACGCAUCAGAUGAUCCUGUGGCCCCUCAGUGCCAGGCCCCACUGGCCCUCUGCGCACAUCAGUGACUCUGAUGUUCUCCCCCACCGCAUGCUGCCAAUCUGAUGGUGGAGACAGAACAGCAGUCCCGGAUGGUGGAGGCAAUGCCCAGAGCUGUGGCAGCCACCUUGCAGCCGUGAAGCACCAGUGGGAAUGACAGUCAAGAGAACCACGGAGAUGCCAGCCCCUGGACCCACAGCAGCAGCACCUGCUUCCAGACUCAGAGUUUUCCUGCGGCUGUCUGCACACCCAGACCAGAGCAGUUCCUGCCUUUGCGCUUUGCACCAUUUUCCUUGGUGAACUUCUAUUCAUCCUUCAAAGCCCAGCAGUAAUCAUCCUUUAGAAAGUCUUCUUUCAGAGGGAACCAAAAAGGUAAUCGCUGGAGACAGACAGAUGCUGCCUGAAUGCCUGUUGUGUUGUGUGGUUGUGGGAAUGUUACUUCACCUCUCCGUGCCUCAGUUUCCUCAGCUGUAAUGGGGAUGGUAACAGUGUCUAGGGGUACUGCUUGGAAUGCACAUAGGGAGAUGAGUGAAGGCCCAGCACUAGAAGAGUGCAGGCACUAGCAGAGUGCAGGCGCAAUUGCUGCUGGGACCAGCAGGUAACUCGCAUCCAAGUUACAGUGCCCAGCCCCAGCAGCAGCCUCAGCACCAGGCAGAGUGUGCUCAGCACUGUGGGGGGCCAAGAGGACUUGAGGGCCGCUGGUCUGUGAUUCUCUCAUCUCUUUUGAGGUUCAGGACUUGGCGUCUCUCCUAGAAGCUCUGGGGAACCUGACAAAUCCUCCAGGAGGACACAGAACGCAGGAAGGGCUGGCUCGGGGUGCACCAAGAUGGCUGCCCCGAGACACCGUAUCUGAGGGCUUGGGUGGAACUGAGGAGAGGGCGGCUGGGAAGGCCAUCCGGGAGGAAAGGGCAGACGGCUACGGCAGCGUCAGGUGGUACAGUUUGCCCCGGAAGUGAGGUAAAGAAGAGAGCGGGAGGAGAGAGGGCCACAUGCCUCUCAGCCAUGGCCCUGAAUGCUGGCUUGGCUGAGCCUCAUCUUUGCUGUUUGCAGAAUGGGGAGAAUUGUGCCUGCCCAGCCUCCUCCUUGGGGACUCCAGGGGCCCAAAGAACCAAGAGCUGCAAAUGUCCUGGUGGCCUUGGAAGUUUAUGGAUGGUACAGAUCUGGGGUGGAGGGCAUGGCCAGGACAGGGAGGGCUGUCAGAGAGAGGGUCUGUGGGUUUGUGGAGUGUGGGGAUCAGUCGCUGACUCAUUAGAUGAACCAGGAGCCUGCAUGCUACAGCCCACCUGCCAAAUCUUGCCCCCACCUGCUUUUUAAAAUAAAGUUUUAUUGGAAC